This 629-nucleotide ribosomal RNA is filed under the name Demequina sediminicola. Its description in RNAcentral is "bacterial SSU rRNA". It matches the Rfam family "Bacterial small subunit ribosomal RNA", at positions 59 to 699 of the family's 1533-position model. Lineage: Bacteria; Bacillati; Actinomycetota; Actinomycetes; Micrococcales; Demequinaceae. The record is from RNAcentral.
CAGUCGAACGGUGAACUUGGAGCUUGCUCUAGGGGAUCAGUGGCGAACGGGUGAGUAACACGUGAGUAACCUGCCCCAGACUCUGGGAUAAGCCUUGGAAACGAGGUCUAAUACCGGAUACGCGACAGGACCGCAUGGUCUCUGUUGGGAAAGUUUUUCGGUCUGGGAUGGACUCGCGGCCUAUCAGCUUGUUGGUGAGGUAAUGGCUCACCAAGGCGACGACGGGUAGCCGGCCUGAGAGGGCGACCGGCCACACUGGAACUGAGACACGGUCCAGACUCCUACGGGAGGCAGCAGUGGGGAAUAUUGCACAAUGGGCGAAAGCCUGAUGCAGCGACGCCGCGUGGGGGAUGAAGGCCUUCGGGUUGUAAACCCCUUUCAGCAGGGAAGAAGCGAAAGUGACGGUACCUGCAGAAGAAGCGCCGGCUAACUACGUGCCAGCAGCCGCGGUAAUACGUAGGGCGCAAGCGUUGUCCGGAAUUAUUGGGCGUAAAGAGCUCGUAGGCGGUUCGUCGCGUCUGCUGUGAAAACCCGAGGCUCAACCUCGGGCCUGCAGUGGGUACGGGCGGACUAGAGUGUGGUAGGGGAGACUGGAAUUCCUGGUGUAGCGGUGGAAUGCGCAGAUAUCA